CAUAUGGAUGUGUCAGCAGCGCGCGGUAAUACGAAGGUCCCAAGCGUUGUUCGGAAUCACUGGGCGUAAAGGGAGCGUAGGCUGUGCGGUAAGUCAGAUGUGAAAUCCCGGGGCUCAACCCCGGAACUGCAUCCGAUACUGCCAUACUAGAGGAUUGGAGAGGUAGCUGGAAUUCACGGUGUAGCAGUGAAAUGCGUAGAUAUCGUGAGGAACACCAAUGGCGAAAGCAAGCUACUGGACAACUCCUGACGCUGAGGCUCGAAGGCCAGGGUAGCGAAAGGGAUUAGAUACCCCUGUAGUCCUGGCAGUAAACGGUGCGCGCUUGGUGUGAGAGGAUUCGACCCCUCUUGUGCCGGAGCUAACGCGUUAAGCGCGCCGCCUGGGAAGUACGGUCGCAAGACUAAAACUCAAAGAAAUUGACGGGGACCCGCACAAGCGGUGGAGUAUGUGGCUUAAUUCGAUGCAACGCGAAGAACCUUACCAAGGCUUGACAUGCAUCUCUAAUCGCGUGAAAGCGCGUGACCCUUCGGGGGAUUUGCACAGGUGCUGCAUGGCCGUCGUCAGCUCGUGUCGUGAGAUGUUGGGUUAAGUCCCGCAACGAGCGCAACCCCUGUGAUCAGUUGCCAGCACAUAAUGGUGGGAACUCUGGUCAGACUGCCCAGAUCAACUGGGAGGAAGGUGGGGACGACGUCAGGUCAGUAUGGCCCUUACGCCUUGGGCUGCAGACGUACUACAAUGCCCAGUACAAUGAGAACCGAUACCGCGAGGUGGAGGAAAUCUACAAAACUGGGCCCAGUUCGGAUUGGAGGCUGCAACUCGCCUCCAUGAAGUCGGAAUCGCUAGUAAUGGCGCAUCAGCUACGGUGCCGUGAAUACGUUCCCGGGUCUUGCACACACCGCCCGUC
Molecule: ribosomal RNA, 904 nt
Filed under: uncultured bacterium
Lineage: Bacteria
Description: bacterial SSU rRNA
Rfam family: Bacterial small subunit ribosomal RNA
Source: RNAcentral